GAUGAACGCUAGCUACAGGCUUAACACAUGCAAGUCGAGGGGCAGCAUGGAAGUUUGCUUGCAAACUUUUGAUGGCGACCGGCGCACGGGUGAGUAACACGUAUCCAACCUGCCUCAUACUCGGGGAUAGCCUUUCGAAAGAAAGAUUAAUACCCGAUGUCAUAGUCCUACCGCAUGAUGGGAUUAUUAAAGAAUUUCGGUAUGGGAUGGGGAUGCGUUCCAGUAGUUAGUUGGCGGGGUAACGGCCCACCAAGACAACGAUGGAUAGGGGUUCUGAGAGGAAGGUCCCCCACAUUGGAACUGAGACACGGUCCAA
This 316-nucleotide ribosomal RNA is filed under the name uncultured bacterium. RNAcentral's name for it is "bacterial SSU rRNA". It matches the Rfam family "Bacterial small subunit ribosomal RNA", at positions 28 to 334 of the family's 1533-position model. The record is from RNAcentral.